Molecule: ribosomal RNA, 485 nt
Filed under: uncultured bacterium
Lineage: Bacteria
Description: bacterial SSU rRNA
Rfam family: Bacterial small subunit ribosomal RNA
Source: RNAcentral
AUUGAACGCUGGCGGCAUGCCUUACACAUGCAAGUCGAACGGCAGCGGACCUUCGGGUGCCGGCGAGUGGCGAACGGGUGAGUAAUAUAUCGGAACGUACCUUUCAGUGGGGGAUAACGUAGCGAAAGUUACGCUAAUACCGCAUAUUCUGUGAGCAGGAAAGCAGGGGAUCGCAAGACCUUGCGCUGAUUGAGCGGCCGAUAUCAGAUUAGCUAGUUGGUGAGGUAAAGGCUCACCAAGGCGACGAUCUGUAGCGGGUCUGAGAGGAUGAUCCGCCACACUGGAACUGAGACACGGUCCAGACUCCUACGGGAGGCAGCAGUGGGGAAUUUUGGACAAUGGGCGCAAGCCUGAUCCAGCCAUGCCGCGUGAGUGAAGAAAGCCUUCGGGUUGUAAAGCUCUUUCGGCCGGGAAGAAAUCGCACAGGUUAAUACCCUGUGUGGAUGACGGUACCGGAAUAAGAAGCACGGCUAACUACGUGCCAG